UACGUAGGGUGCAAGCGUUAAUCGGAAUUACUGGGCGUAAAGCGUGCGCAGGCGGUUAUAUAAGACAGAUGUGAAAUCCCCGGGCUCAACCUGGGAACUGCAUUUGUGACUGCAAGGCUAGAGUACGGCAGAGGGGGAUGGAAUUCCGCGUGUAGCAGUGAAAUGCGUAGAUAUGCGGAGGAACACCGAUGGCGAAGGCAAUCCCCUGGACCUGUACUGACGCUCAUGCACGAAAGCGUGGGGAGCAAACAGG
Molecule: ribosomal RNA, 253 nt
Filed under: uncultured bacterium
Lineage: Bacteria
Description: partial 16S ribosomal RNA
Rfam family: Bacterial small subunit ribosomal RNA
Source: RNAcentral